CCAACUUUAUUUGAGACAUUUGAAAUUGAAUUAUUGAUUUGAUUAUCAUAAAUGAUAGAUUUUUAGUAUUGAUAUUGUGAUCUAAUGUUGUGACUUGAGUGUCUGAUUAUUCAGCCUUGCACGCCCGUGCGGUCCGCCGUGCGGGUGUGCGGCGUCUGGCGCGUCCCGGGCCUAAGUUCGGGUUCGGGGCGUGACAGAUUUAGUGGUAUCAGAGCUUAGGUUAACGAUCACUAAGGACAUCAGAACAAAAGAACAAUAACUAAUGAAAACCCUAGGAGCAUAGGGACACAUGUGAGGAAAUGAGAGUGGGGUAGUAAACUCAUAGGAUGAUUUUUGACUUAACCCUAACUUGUGGUAUUAUGUCUGUAUCAGGAUGCCGCCCCGCCGUGCUCGUGUACCACCUCGUCGUCUGAUUGAGACGAUGGGAGAUGAUCCGGCGACUCCUCGCCCAGCGGAGCAGUUCAGGAAGAGGAGAUUGCUCCGACAGUUUUAGACCGACCAGAACAGGAUCAGGCGGGAGGAUCGACCCCAGUAUUGGAACUGGUCAGGGAGGUGAUUGGGCUGGUCAGACAGCAGAGGGACCCACAGCCACAGCAUCCCUCUGCUAGCUCGUCGGAUCAGGGGAGGAGCAUUGCAGAAUUUCGAAAGUUGGCU
RNAcentral lists this long non-coding RNA (654 nucleotides) under Phoenix dactylifera (date palm). RNAcentral describes it as "long non-coding RNA (PDAC_LNC019750)". Lineage: Eukaryota; Viridiplantae; Streptophyta; Magnoliopsida; Arecales; Arecaceae. The record is from RNAcentral.